GACGAACGCUGGCGGCGUGCCUAAUACAUGCAAGUAGAACGCUGAAGGAGGAGCUUGCUCUUCUGGAUGAGUUGCGAACGGGUGAGUAACGCGUAGGUAACCUGCCUGGUAGCGGGGGAUAACUAUUGGAAACGAUAGCUAAUACCGCAUAAGAGUAGAUGUUGCAUGACAUUUACUUAAAAGGUGCAAUUGCAUCACUACCAGAUGGACCUGCGUUGUAUUAGCUAGUUGGUGGGGUAACGGCUUACCAAGGCGACGAUACAUAGCCGACCUGAGAGGGGUAUCGGCCACACUGGGACUGAGACACGGCCCAGACUCCUACGGGAGGCAGCAGUAGGGAAUCAUCGGCAAUGGACGGAAGUCUGACCGAGCAACGCCGCGGGAGUGAAGAAGGGUUUCGGAUCGUAAAGCUCUGUUGUAAGAGAAGAACGAGUGUGAGAGUGGAAAGUUCACACUGUGACGGUAGCUUACCAGAAAGGGACGGCUAACUACGUG
RNAcentral lists this ribosomal RNA (495 nucleotides) under uncultured bacterium. RNAcentral's name for it is "partial 16S ribosomal RNA". It matches the Rfam family "Bacterial small subunit ribosomal RNA", at positions 28 to 507 of the family's 1533-position model. The record is from RNAcentral.